RNAcentral lists this ribosomal RNA (493 nucleotides) under uncultured bacterium. RNAcentral describes it as "partial 16S ribosomal RNA". It matches the Rfam family "Bacterial small subunit ribosomal RNA", at positions 28 to 507 of the family's 1533-position model. The record is from RNAcentral.
GAUGAACGCUGGCGGCGUGCCUAACACAUGCAAGUUGAGCGACGAACCAGGGCUUGCGCUGGGGCAAAGCAGCGAACGGGUGAGUAACUCGUGGGUAACUUACCCCGAUAAACGGGACAACCCGAGGAAACUCGGGCUAAUACAUAAUGUGUUCUCUGGACUUCGGUUCAGUUCGUAAAUGAAGGUUCGUCCUCCGUAUCGGGAUGGGUGCGCGGGGCAUGAGUUUGUUGGUUAGGUAACGGAUCACCAAGACCACGAUGGGUAGCUGGUCUGAGAGGGUGAUCGGCCACACUGGGACUGAGACACGGCCCAGACUCCUACGGGAGGCAGCAGUGGGGAAUCUUGCGCAAUGGGCGAAAGCGUGACGCAGCAACGCCGCGUGGGGGAAGAAGGCCUUCGGGUUGUAAACCCCUUUCAGGAGGGACGAAGGUUCGGCGGUGAAUAGCCGUCCGGAUUGACGGUACCUACACAAGAAGCCCCGGCUAACUACGUG